CCGAGUUUCACUCCCAAACCCCUGUGAACAUACCAAUUGUUGCCUCGGCGGAUCAGCCCGCUCCCGGUAAAACGGGACGGCCCGCCAGAGGACCCCUAAACUCUGUUUCUAUAUGUAACUUCUGAGUAAAACCAUAAAUAAAUCAAAACUUUCAACAACGGAUCUCUUGGUUCUGGCAUCGAUGAAGAACGCAGCAAAAUGCGAUAAGUAAUGUGAAUUGCAGAAUUCAGUGAAUCAUCGAAUCUUUGAACGCACAUUGCGCCCGCCAGUAUUCUGGCGGGCAUGCCUGUUCGAGCGUCAUUUCAACCCUCAAGCCCUCGGGUUUGGUGUUGGGGAUCGGCGAGCCCUUGCGGCAAGCCGGCCCCGAAAUCUAGUGGCGGUCUCGCUGCAGCUUCCAUUGCGUAGUAGUAAAACCCUCGCAACUGGUACGCGGCGCGGCCAAGCCGUUAAACCCCCAACUUCUGAAUGUUGACCUCGGAUCAGGUAGGAAUACCCGCG
RNAcentral lists this ribosomal RNA (498 nucleotides) under Fusarium proliferatum. RNAcentral describes it as "eukaryotic LSU rRNA". The stretch from base 147 to 300 matches the Rfam family "5.8S ribosomal RNA". Lineage: Eukaryota; Fungi; Ascomycota; Sordariomycetes; Hypocreales; Nectriaceae. The record is from RNAcentral.